This 1128-nucleotide ribosomal RNA is filed under the name Allobosea lupini. Its description in RNAcentral is "bacterial LSU rRNA". It matches the Rfam family "Bacterial large subunit ribosomal RNA", at positions 1 to 1129 of the family's 2925-position model. The record is from RNAcentral. Lineage: Bacteria; Pseudomonadati; Pseudomonadota; Alphaproteobacteria; Hyphomicrobiales; Alloboseaceae.
ACGAUCAAGUGCCUUAAGAGCAUUCGGUGGAUGCCUUGGCGCUGAGAGGCGAUGAAGGACGUGAUACGCUGCGAUAAGCCGUGGGGAGCUGCGAAUGAGCUUUGAUCCGCGGAUUUCCGAAUGGGGAAACCCACCUUCGAUCUCUGUUAUUCCAAGGACAGGCUCCGGCUCGGACUAACAGAGAUCACAAGAAGGUAUUGAACUCUGAAUACAUAGGGGUUCAAAGCUAACCCAGGGAACUGAAACAUCUAAGUACCUGGAGGAAAGGACAUCAACGAGACUCCGUUAGUAGUGGCGAGCGAACGCGGACCAGGCCAGUGCUCGAUUGUGCGUUACCGGAAGUGGUUGGGAAACCACGCAUCAAUGGGUGAUAGCCCCGUACGGAUCUGCAAUCAGUCGAGACAUGAGUAAGGCGGGACACGUGAAAUCCUGUCUGAACGUGGGGGGACCACCCUCCAAGCCUAAGUACUCCUCAGCGACCGAUAGUGAACAAGUACCGUGAGGGAAAGGUGAAAAGCACCCCGACGAGGGGAGUGAAACAGCACCUGAAACCGAAUGCUUACAAACAGUGGGAGCUCAAGGUUCGUCCUGGGUGACCGCGUACCUUUUGUAUAAUGGGUCAGCGACUUAGUCUGACGAGCAAGCUUAAGCCGCUAGGCGUAGGCGCAGCGAAAGCGAGUCUGAACAGGGCGUUCAGUUCGUCGGAUUAGACCCGAAACCGGGUGAUCUAGCCAUGAGCAGGUUGAAGGUAAGGUAACACUUACUGGAGGACCGAACCGGUGCCUGUUGAAAAAGUCUCGGAUGACUUGUGGCUAGGGGUGAAAGGCCAAUCAAACUCGGAAAUAGCUGGUUCUCCGCGAAAGCUAUUUAGGUAGCGCCUCGCGUGAAUACUCUCGGGGGUAGAGCACUGGAUGGGUGCGGGGUACUUACCGUAUUACCAAACCUAACCAAACUCCGAAUACCGAGAAGUACUGCGCGGGAGACACACGGCGGGUGCUAACGUCCGUCGUGGAGAGGGAAACAACCCUGACUUACAGCUAAGGCCCCCAAUUCGUGGCUAAGUGUGAAAGGAUGUGGGAAUCCCAAAACAACCAGGAGGUUGGCUUAGAAGCAGCCAUCCUUUAAAGA